AGUGAACGCUGGCGGUAGGCCUAACACAUGCAAGUCGAACGGCAGCACAGUAAGAGCUUGCUCUUACGGGUGGCGAGUGGCGGACGGGUGAGGAAUACAUCGGAAUCUACUUUUUCGUGGGGGAUAACGUAGGGAAACUUACGCUAAUACCGCAUACGACCUACGGGUGAAAGCAGGGGAUCUUCGGACCUUGCGCGAUUGAAUGAGCCGAUGUCGGAUUAGCUAGUUGGCGGGGUAAAGGCCCACCAAGGCGAGGAUCCGUAGCUGGUCUGAGAGGAUGGUCGGCCACACUGGAACUGAGACACGGUCCAGACGCCUACGGGAGGCAGCAGUGGGGAAUAUUGGACAACGGGCGCAAGCCUGAUCCAGCCAUACCGCGUGGGUGAAGAAGGCCUUCGGGUUGUAAAGCCCUUUUUUUGGGAAAGAAAAGCAGCAGGUUAAUACCCCGCUGUUCUGACGGUACCCAAAGAAUAAGCACCGGCUAACUUCGUG
Molecule: ribosomal RNA, 492 nt
Filed under: uncultured bacterium
Lineage: Bacteria
Description: partial 16S ribosomal RNA
Rfam family: Bacterial small subunit ribosomal RNA
Source: RNAcentral